GCGAGUUCAACUCUCUAUAACCCCUGUGAACGAACAGCUUUCGUUGCCUCGGCGGAGCGCACACCCAGCGGCCUCCGGAGCCCCGGGACCAGCCCUGCCGCAAGAACGCAAACUCUUGUUUAACUACUGUAUCUCUGAUUGACUAUCAAUAAGUUA
This 156-nucleotide unclassified non-coding RNA is filed under the name soil metagenome. RNAcentral's name for it is "partial internal transcribed spacer 1". The record is from RNAcentral.